GUUCAACAGAAGAGAAGGAAUGUGCGUUCUUUAUUAGGAAGUGGACACAUUACAUUACAAGCAAAAGAGAGAGACAGAAGGAAGAAGUUCCAGUUAGUCCUGACAUAAGGUCCAGAAGCCGAGACUGGUCAUCUGUUUUGCACACUAUGACACUAUGGUGAAUGAGCAACAGAGGAGAUUGCUGCUCCUCAGUGAUGAGGGAAACACUCAGCACAUGACUGAAAAAGGAAGUACUGGUGCAGCAAGAAAGCAGCCUAACAGAACUCCUGAAAGAUGAACUUGCUCUUUGAAGGUGAAGGCAAUCCCAUCUAAUCCAGAUCCUGUUACCAGUAUCUUGUGGCUGUGAAUUCUGACAACAGAAAUUAUAGUGGCCAUCCUGAUGCAACCUGAAUGGUACAGCACAGUGUUGUGAUGUUGCCCUGUAACUUGUGGACACAACUGAUCUAAUGAUCCCGGCUCUUGGACCUGACUGGCUGGCUGGCUGCCCCUUCAUGGAGAGAUAACCCAAGAUGUUUUGAUGCCUGAGGCAGAAAAUACAAAUGGCAUCAGCAUUUGUGAUGGAAGAAAACAAAAACAAAUGAAAGUUGCAAUCCUAUGACACUUAGCAGGGAAUAAGUACUGUGGAGCUUAACUGGACUUAAUUCUGACUAAACAUGCAUGCACAGGAUUGGACUACAUUUAUUAACACUUUAGUAACUCAACAACUGCUUUGGUGUGUGACAUUUGAUAGAAUCAGAUCACAACUAUAUGUUGAUCUUUGCCUCGGCAGUCAAAUUGCUGUUUGGAAACAGAAUUGCUUUGGUUCUCUCCCCACCCACUAAAUAGAAAAGAAGCCCCAUUGAACUCUGCUCUGGAAAGAAGAAAUCAUGGAUUUCAGUCACAAUUUUCUCCCUAUGUGAACUGGAUGGGUUGGGGGAUAAUUACAAGCCUUCCCCUUCUCCCAUGAGAAGAGGGCAUGCCAUCAUGGUAGGUGAUGGAAGCAGAUAAAUUAUGUAUGUAUGUAUGUAUGUUUGCCACCCGGUAUAUUUGUAUACCGCCCAAAAUGCAAGUUCUCUGGGCGGUUUACAAAACAAUAAAAACAACCAAUAAAAAAGAUUAACAUAU
Hemicordylus capensis (graceful crag lizard) is the source of this 1104-nucleotide long non-coding RNA. RefSeq lists it as uncharacterized. The record is from RefSeq and is a predicted model, not a curated record. The transcript is spliced from 6 exons. NCBI's taxonomy places the organism in Eukaryota, Metazoa, Chordata, Lepidosauria, Squamata, Cordylidae.